RNAcentral lists this ribosomal RNA (397 nucleotides) under uncultured bacterium. RNAcentral describes it as "partial 16S ribosomal RNA". It matches the Rfam family "Bacterial small subunit ribosomal RNA", at positions 523 to 918 of the family's 1533-position model. The record is from RNAcentral.
AUACGUAGGGGGCGAGCGUUGUCCGGAAUGAUUGGGCGUAAAGGGCGCGUAGGCGGCGCGGUAAGUCUGGAGUGAAAGUCCUGCUUUCAAGGUGGGAAUUGCUUUGGAUACUGCCGCGCUUGAGUGCAGGAGAGGUUAUCGGAAUUCCCGGUGUAGCGGUGAAAUGCGUAGAGAUUGGGAGGAACACCAGUGGCGAAGGCGACUUACUGGGCCGUAACUGACGCUGAGGCGCGAAAGCGUGGGGAGCGAACAGGAUUAGAUACCCUGGUAGUCCACGCGGUAAACGAUGAAUGCUAGGUGUUGCGGGUAUCGACCCCUGCAGUGCCGGAGUAAACACAAUAAGCAUUCCGCCUGGGGAGUACGGCCGCAAGGUUGAAACUCAAAUGAAUUGACGGGG